UGCAGUCGUACGAGAGUUUUUAACUCAAGUGGCGGACGGGUGAGUAACACGUAAGAAUUUGCCUUUAGGAGGGGGACAACAACUGGAAACGGUUGCUAAUACCCCAUAUGCUUUCGAGUGAAAUGGAUUUUUCCGCCUAGAGAGAAGCUUGCGGCUGAUUAGCUUGUUGGUGAGGUAAUGGCUCACCAAGGCGACGAUCAGUAUCUGGUUUGAGAGGACGAUCAGACACACUGGAACUGAGACACGGUCCAGACUCCUACGGGAGGCAGCAGUGGGGAAUUUUCCGCAAUGGGCGAAAGCCUGACGGAGCAAUACCGCGUGGGGGAUGACGGCCUAUGGGUUGUAAACCUCUUUUUUCAGGGAGGAAUAAAAUGACGUGUACCUGAAGAAUAAGCAUCGGCUAACUCCGUGCCAGCAGCCGCGGUAAGACGGAGGAUGCAAGUGUUAUCCGGAAUCACUGGGCGUAAAGCGUCUGUAGGUGGUCCAAUAAGUCAACUGUUAAAUCUUGAGGCUCAACCUCAAAACCGCAGUCGAAACUAUUAGACUAGAGUAUAGUAGGGGUAAAGGGAAUUUCCAGUGGAGCGGUGAAAUGCGUAGAGAUUGGAAAGAACACCGAUGGCGAAGCACUUUACUGGGCUAUUACUAACACUCAGAGACGAAAGCUAGGGUAGCAAAUGGGAUUAGAUACCCCAGUAGUCCUAGCCGUGAACAAUGGAUACUAGAUGUUGAAC
This 731-nucleotide ribosomal RNA is filed under the name uncultured phototrophic eukaryote. RNAcentral's name for it is "bacterial SSU rRNA". It matches the Rfam family "Bacterial small subunit ribosomal RNA", at positions 56 to 828 of the family's 1533-position model. The record is from RNAcentral.